AUGCCUUCCCAUCUACAGACACCAUCGCAGACUCGACACCUCCAUCGACAGUGCAGGCGCCUCCACCUUAGAUUUGGGCUGCAUGAUUCUCGUCGAUUUGGGGCGAGGAUAGCAGGGAGGGCAGGUAGGACCACCAUCCCGAACAACCCAGCCAUCACCAUCUCGGCCGCCGCGCGCGAGGCAGGGGGAGAAGUGGUGCGGCUCAGCCAUGGCCUCGACGUCCGAGUCCCUUCGGCGGACCUUCCAUAUCAGGCGCGGGCGCGGGCGCGGGAAUGGGAGGAGGUGAGGUGGCGGAUCUCCCACGCCAUUUUUGUCGUGGGCCGAGGAGGAGGUGGCGGAUCUCCCAUGCCCUCCGGCCUCCGCGCAUCCUCUGAGUUGCUGGUGGCGGAGCCUCCCUGCGCGGCGGUGGGUUGCAGCCGCGACAUCCAGGCGUCCGUUCCGACGAGCCUCGAGGCGGGGAGCAGCGUUUGCGGGUGGGAUCGGACGACGGCGGCAUAA
Molecule: long non-coding RNA, 498 nt
Filed under: Zea mays
Lineage: Eukaryota; Viridiplantae; Streptophyta; Magnoliopsida; Poales; Poaceae
Description: drought-responsive long non-coding RNA
Source: RNAcentral